Molecule: ribosomal RNA, 459 nt
Filed under: uncultured bacterium
Lineage: Bacteria
Description: partial 16S ribosomal RNA
Rfam family: Bacterial small subunit ribosomal RNA
Source: RNAcentral
CCUACGGGAGGCUGCAGUGAGGAAUAUUGGUCAAUGGACGAGAGUCUGAACCAGCCAAGUAGCGUGAAGGAUGACUGCCCUAUGGGUUGUAAACUUCUUUUAUAAAGGAAUAAAACGAGGCACGUGUGCCUUUUGCAUGUACUUUAUGAAUUAGGAUCGGCUAACUCCGUGCCAGCAGCCGCGGUAAUACGGAGGAUCCGAGCCUUAUCCGGAUUUAUUGGGUUUGAAGGGAGCGUAGAUGGGUCGUUAAGUCAGUUGUUAAAGUUUGCGGCUCAACCGUAAAAUUGCAAUUGAUACUGGCAGUCUUGAGUACAGUUGAGGUAAGCGGAAUUCGUGGUGUAGCGGUGAAAUGCUUAGAUAUCACGAAGAACCCCGAUUGCGAAGGCAGCUUACUAAACUGUGACUGACAUUGAGGCUCGAAAGUGUGGGUAUCGAACAGGAUUAGAUACCCUGGUAGUC